This 2872-nucleotide ribosomal RNA is filed under the name Salmonella enterica subsp. enterica serovar Enteritidis. RNAcentral's name for it is "bacterial LSU rRNA". It matches the Rfam family "Bacterial large subunit ribosomal RNA". Lineage: Bacteria; Pseudomonadati; Pseudomonadota; Gammaproteobacteria; Enterobacterales; Enterobacteriaceae. The record is from RNAcentral.
GGGUUGUGAGGUUAAGCGACUAAGCGUACACGGUGGAUGCCCUGGCAGUCAGAGGCGAUGAAGGGCGUGCUAAUCUGCGAUAAGCGCCGGUAAGGUGAUAUGAACCGUUAUAACCGGCGAUACCCGAAUGGGGAAACCCAGUGUGAUUCGUCACACUAUCAUUAACUGAAUCCAUAGGUUAAUGAGGCGAACCGGGGGAACUGAAACAUCUAAGUACCCCGAGGAAAAGAAAUCAACCGAGAUUCCCCCAGUAGCGGCGAGCGAACGGGGAGGAGCCCAGAGCCUGAAUCAGCAUGUGUGUUAGUGGAAGCGUCUGGAAAGGCGCGCGAUACAGGGUGACAGCCCCGUACACAAAAGCGCAUGUGCUGUGAGCUCGAUGAGUAGGGCGGGACACGUGGUAUCCUGUCUGAAUAUGGGGGGACCAUCCUCCAAGGCUAAAUACUCCUGACUGACCGAUAGUGAACCAGUACCGUGAGGGAAAGGCGAAAAGAACCCCGGCGAGGGGAGUGAAAAAGAACCUGAAACCGUGUACGUACAAGCAGUGGGAGCNNNNNNNNNNNNNNNNNNNNNNNNNNNNNNNNNNNNNNNNNNNNNNNNNNNNNGGCGUUAAGUUGCAGGGUAUAGACCCGAAACCCGGUGAUCUAGCCAUGGGCAGGUUGAAGGUUGGGUAACACUAACUGGAGGACCGAACCGACUAAUGUUGAAAAAUUAGCGGAUGACCUGUGGCUGGGGGUGAAAGGCCAAUCAAACCGGGAGAUAGCUGGUUCUCCCCGAAAGCUAUUUAGGUAGCGCCUCGUGAAUUCAUCUCCGGGGGUAGAGCACUGUUUCGGCUAGGGGGCCAUCCCGGCUUACCAACCCGAUGCAAACUGCGAAUACCGGAGAAUGUUAUCACGGGAGACACACGGCGGGUGCUAACGUCCGUCGUGAAGAGGGAAACAACCCAGACCGCCAGCUAAGGUCCCAAAGUCAUGGUUAAGUGGGAAACGAUGUGGGAAGGCCCAGACAGCCAGGAUGUUGGCUUAGAAGCAGCCAUCAUUUAAAGAAAGCGUAAUAGCUCACUGGUCGAGUCGGCCUGCGCGGAAGAUGUAACGGGGCUAAACCAUGCACCGAAGCUGCGGCAGCGACACUGUGUGUUGUUGGGUAGGGGAGCGUUCUGUAAGCCUGUGAAGGUGUGUCGUGAGGCAUGCUGGAGGUAUCAGAAGUGCGAAUGCUGACAUAAGUAACGAUAAAGCGGGUGAAAAGCCCGCUCGCCGGAAGACCAAGGGUUCCUGUCCAACGUUAAUCGGGGCAGGGUGAGUCGACCCCUAAGGCGAGGCCGAAAGGCGUAGUCGAUGGGAAACGGGUUAAUAUUCCCGUACUUGGUGUUACUGCGAAGGGGGGACGGAGAAGGCUAUGUUGGCCGGGCGACGGUUGUCCCGGUUUAAGCGUGUAGGUGUGUGUUCCAGGUAAAUCCGGUUCACUUUAACACUGAGGCGUGACGACGAGGCACUACGGUGCUGAAGCAACAAAUGCCCUGCUUCCAGGAAAAGCCUCUAAGCAUCAGGUAACAUCAAAUCGUACCCCAAACCGACACAGGUGGUCAGGUAGAGAAUACCAAGGCGCUUGAGAGAACUCGGGUGAAGGAACUAGGCAAAAUGGUGCCGUAACUUCGGGAGAAGGCACGCUGACACGUAGGUGAAGUGAUUUACUCAUGGAGCUGAAGUCAGUCGAAGAUACCAGCUGGCUGCAACUGUUUAUUAAAAACACAGCACUGUGCAAACACGAAAGUGGACGUAUACGGUGUGACGCCUGCCCGGUGCCGGAAGGUUAAUUGAUGGGGUCAGCGCAAGCGAAGCUCCUGAUCGAAGCCCCGGUAAACGGCGGCCGUAACUAUAACGGUCCUAAGGUAGCGAAAUUCCUUGUCGGGUAAGUUCCGACCUGCACGAAUGGCGUAAUGAUGGCCAGGCUGUCUCCACCCGAGACUCAGUGAAAUUGAACUCGCUGUGAAGAUGCAGUGUACCCGCGGCAAGACGGAAAGACCCCGUGAACCUUUACUAUAGCUUGACACUGAACAUUGAGCCUUGAUGUGUAGGAUAGGUGGGAGGCUUUGAAGUGUGGACGCCAGUCUGCAUGGAGCCGACCUUGAAAUACCACCCUUUAAUGUUUGAUGUUCUAACGUGGACCCGUUACCCGGGUUGCGGACAGUGUCUGGUGGGUAGUUUGACUGGGGCGGUCUCCUCCUAAAGAGUAACGGAGGAGCACGAAGGUUGGCUAAUCCUGGUCGGACAUCAGGAGGUUAGUGCAAUGGCAUAAGCCAGCUUGACUGCGAGCGUGACGGCGCGAGCAGGUGCGAAAGCAGGUCAUAGUGAUCCGGUGGUUCUGAAUGGAAGGGCCAUCGCUCAACGGAUAAAAGGUACUCCGGGGAUAACAGGCUGAUACCGCCCAAGAGUUCAUAUCGACGGCGGUGUUUGGCACCUCGAUGUCGGCUCAUCACAUCCUGGGGCUGAAGUAGGUCCCAAGGGUAUGGCUGUUCGCCAUUUAAAGUGGUACGCGAGCUGGGUUUAGAACGUCGUGAGACAGUUCGGUCCCUAUCUGCCGUGGGCGCUGGAGAACUGAGGGGGGCUGCUCCUAGUACGAGAGGACCGGAGUGGACGCAUCACUGGUGUUCGGGUUGUCAUGCCAAUGGCACUGCCCGGUAGCUAAAUGCGGAAGAGAUAAGUGCUGAAAGCAUCUAAGCACGAAACUUGCCCCGAGAUGAGUUCUCCCUGAGACUUAGAGUCUCCUGAAGGAACGUUGAAGACGACGACGUUGAUAGGCCGGGUGUGUAAGCGCAGCGAUGCGUUGAGCUAACCGGUACUAAUGAACCGUGAGGCUUAACCUUACAACGCCGAAG